Molecule: long non-coding RNA, 297 nt
Filed under: Theobroma cacao (cacao)
Lineage: Eukaryota; Viridiplantae; Streptophyta; Magnoliopsida; Malvales; Malvaceae
Description: long non-coding RNA (TCAC_LNC004049)
Source: RNAcentral
CUAUAAAGAAAAAAAUGUGUAUUAAAAGCUUUAAAGAGGAAGUGCAGGAGAUAUCAGCAGUAGCAUUUUUUGGUGAUGGUGACAUAGGAUACAUGUUCUGCAUCAGGGACUUGAGCAAAACAUGUAUAUCAAUGGAGAUAGAGGUGUCUCCAUUGACUAGAAACAUGAUACAUAGAAAAAAUAAAGAUUCCGUAUCCAGAUUUGUUGGAACGAUCAUAUUCAAUAUACUUUGAAAAUCUUGGUGAUUAGGUUCAGCUGUAAGCAUGCAUUACUGAAUAGUCAACAGAGUAAUGUUAG